CCUACGGGUGGCAGCAGUGGGGAAUAUUGGGCAAUGGGCGCAAGCCUGACCCAGCAACGCCGCGUGAAGGACGAAGGCUCUCGGGUUGUAAACUUCUUUUAUCAGGGACGCAGCACGUGACGGUACCUGCUGACUAAGCCAAGUCUAACUACGUGCCAGCAGCCGCGGGAAUACGGAGGGGGCAAUCGUUCUCCGGAUUUACUGGGUGUAAGUGGCGUGUAGGCGGGAAAGGAAGUCAGAUGUGAAAACCAUGGGCUCAACCUGUGGCCUGCAUUUGAAACUGUGUGUCGUGAGUACUGGAGAGGCAGACGGAAUGCCUAGUGGAGCGGUGAAAUGCGUAGAUAUUAGGAGGAACACCAGUGGCGAAGGCGGUCUGCUGGACAGGAACUGACGCUGAGGCGCGAAAGCGUGGGGAGCAAACAGGAUUAGAUACCCCAGUAGUC
This 443-nucleotide ribosomal RNA is filed under the name uncultured bacterium. RNAcentral describes it as "partial 16S ribosomal RNA". It matches the Rfam family "Bacterial small subunit ribosomal RNA", at positions 338 to 795 of the family's 1533-position model. The record is from RNAcentral.